RNAcentral lists this long non-coding RNA (581 nucleotides) under Gossypium barbadense (sea-island cotton). RNAcentral describes it as "long non-coding RNA (GBAR_LNC016073)". The record is from RNAcentral. Lineage: Eukaryota; Viridiplantae; Streptophyta; Magnoliopsida; Malvales; Malvaceae.
CCCCAACUGUAGAAUCCAUCCCAGCUGCGGAAGCAUUUCUUUGAUCUUGCACUGCAGCUGUGUCAGUAACGAAGACAAAUAGAUAGCGUCAAUGCCGCAGUUCAAGACCAGAUGCAAAAAAUAUUAACCAUAAAGGUACAAGAGACCUUUUCCCCACUUCUUAUCUUUUUCUAUUUACACUUCAUUUUGCUUGAUAGUGAGAUAUUCUACCUAAAUUACCGCAUAUCUAAAGUCCCUAAAUAAUAAAUGAUAUGAAGGAAAAGUAAGGGAUAUAACACCAGUACUCAAAAGUGAAAUAAACCUUUCACACUAAAAUACCGCUUGAUUAAUAUUUUCAUUAUCGUUCAGUGAAUGUUGGAGUCUAUAUACUUUUUAACCUUUACAGCCAUUGGAAAUGGAACUCCCAUUUCAACAUGUAAUUUGCUUGGCAGGAACUAUAGUUUGCAGCACGAUUGUUUUGAGAAUACAUACCUUGAAGCCCCUCAUUGGUUGUGAUGAGAUCAAGUUCAAGGAGGUCUAGAAGACGUCCAAGAUCAACUCCGCUAGUCCAAUUUUCUGGGGGUUGGCCAACUUUGAGUUUC